AAAUAGGUUGCUCUUAAUUGAGUAUAAUAGGGAAUUCGGUGUGAAACCGAAGCUGUAUCCGCAACUGUAAGUGUAGAAGACUGUGUAAAAUAUGCCACUGUUAAAUGAGGAAAAAUGCCUCUAGUCAAUGGGAAGGCUUGCACAUGAUACACGAGCCAGGAGACCUGACUUAUUUU
This 176-nucleotide non-coding RNA is filed under the name uncultured Solibacillus sp. The record is from RNAcentral. Lineage: Bacteria; Bacillati; Bacillota; Bacilli; Caryophanales; Caryophanaceae.